Molecule: transfer RNA, 72 nt
Filed under: Spizellomyces punctatus
Lineage: Eukaryota; Fungi; Chytridiomycota; Chytridiomycetes; Spizellomycetales; Spizellomycetaceae
Also listed under: 1 other name
Description: tRNA-Trp
Rfam family: tRNA
About the family: Transfer RNA (tRNA) molecules are approximately 80 nucleotides in length. Their secondary structure includes four short double-helical elements and three loops (D, anti-codon, and T loops). Further hydrogen bonds mediate the characteristic L-shaped molecular structure. tRNAs have two regions of fundamental functional importance: the anti-codon, which is responsible for specific mRNA codon recognition, and the 3' end, to which the tRNAs corresponding amino acid is attached (by aminoacyl-tRNA synthetases). tRNAs cope with the degeneracy of the genetic code in two manners: having more than one tRNA (with a specific anti-codon) for a particular amino acid; and 'wobble' base-pairing, i.e. permitting non-standard base-pairing at the 3rd anti-codon position.
Source: RNAcentral
AGAGGCGUAGUUCAAUGGUUAGAAUUCUGGUCUCCAAAACCAGCGAUAUAGGUUCGAGUCCUAUCGCCCCUG